RNAcentral lists this ribosomal RNA (433 nucleotides) under uncultured bacterium. RNAcentral describes it as "partial 16S ribosomal RNA". It matches the Rfam family "Bacterial small subunit ribosomal RNA", at positions 29 to 507 of the family's 1533-position model. The record is from RNAcentral.
AACGAACGCUGGCGGCAGGCUUAACACAUGCAAGUCGAGCGCAUCCUUCGGGGUGAGCGGCGGACGGGUGAGUAACGCGUGGGAACGUGCCCUCUUCUACGGAAUAGCCUCGGGAAACUGAGAGUAAUGCCGUAUACGCCCGCAAGGGGAAAGAUUUAUCGGAGGAGGAUCGGCCCGCGUUGGAUUAGGUAGGUGGUGGGGUAACGGCCUACCAAGCCGACGAUCCAUAGCUGGUUUGAGAGGAUGAUCAGCCACACUGGGACUGAGACACGGCCCAGACUCCUACGGGAGGCAGCAGUGGGGAAUCUUGGACAAUGGGGGCAACCCUGAUCCAGCCAUGCCGCGUGAUCGAUGAAGGCCUUAGGGUUGUAAAGAUCUUUCAGCUGGGAAGAUAAUGACGGUACCAGCAGAAGAAGCCCCGGCUAACUCCGUG